Molecule: ribosomal RNA, 432 nt
Filed under: Haemaphysalis semermis
Lineage: Eukaryota; Metazoa; Arthropoda; Arachnida; Ixodida; Ixodidae
Description: partial large subunit ribosomal RNA
Rfam family: Archaeal large subunit ribosomal RNA (bases 297-432)
Source: RNAcentral
UUUUUAAAUUGCUGUGGUAUUUUGACUAUACAAAGGUAUUGUAAUAAGACUUUAAUUGAGUGCUAAAAGAAUGGAAUUUCAAAAAAAAUCUCUCUUAAAUUUAAAAAUUUAAGUUAUUUUUAUUUGUGAAGAAACAAUAAUAAAAAUUAUAGACAAGAAGACCCUAAGAAUUUUAAUAAAAUAUGAUUAAUAUUAUGAUCAUAUUUUAUUUAAUUGGGGCGAUUAAAAAAUAUAAUGAACUUUUAAACAUCUAAGAUGAUCCAUAAAUUAUGAUUAAAUGAAAAAAAUACUCUAGGGAUAACAGCGUAAUAAUUUUAGAUAGAUCUUAUAGAAAAAAUAGUUUGCGACCUCGAUGUUGGAUUAGGAUACUUUUUUAAUGAAGAAGUUAAAUUAAGAAGUUUGUUCAACUUUUAAAAUCCUACUUGAUCUGUU